This is an RNA transcript of Oncorhynchus keta (chum salmon), 3362 nucleotides long. It is a transcript of the gene named very-long-chain enoyl-CoA reductase-like, with no coding region annotated. Lineage: Eukaryota; Metazoa; Chordata; Actinopteri; Salmoniformes; Salmonidae. The transcript has 13 exons. The record is from RefSeq and is a predicted model, not a curated record.
UGUGUCACAUUCGUGUUGUCCUGAUUGGCUAAUAUCAUGAGCCAUGCUAACAUGUCUAGACAUGUCUUCUGCCUUAUUGACUUAAAUGUAUCUAUUUUAUUGACAUGUUGUAGUUUGGUGAACUACGGCUGCUGUGUAUUGAUACGCUUUCUUUCUUUGUGCGGCACAGCGGAACAUCAGAAGAAUUACCGUAAUGUGGAGGUUCUAGAUGGCAGGACCAAGCAACAGCUGUGUUUUCUAGAUAAGGUGGAGCCUCACGUUACAAUAGGAGACAUCAAGAGACUUUUUCACAAGUCAUAUCAACAGUUGUAUCCAGCCAGACAGGACCUCAAGCUCGACCCCAAAGGAAAAUCACUGAAGGACGACGAUGUAUUACAAAACCUACCAGUUGGGACCACAGCAACCAUGUAUUUCAGGGACCUGGGUCCACAGAUCGGGUGGACAAUGGUGUUUUUGGCGGAGUACAUCGGCCCCCUGUUUAUCUACCUUCUGUUCUAUUUCCGAGUUCCCUAUAUCUACUCACAGCAGGAUGCCUUCACCUCCAGCUCCAACUCAGUGGUCACACUAGCCUGUGCUUGUCACACCUGCCACUACAUCAAGAGAUUGAUUGAGACCGUCUUUGUGCACCGGUUCUCCUAUGGCACCGUGCCUCUCAGGACUACAGUCAGGAGCUGUGUGUAUUACUGGACCUUCUCUGCGUGGGUGGCCUUCUACAUCAACCAUCCACUGUACACGCCUCCAUCGUAUGGGGACAUGCAGGUGAACUACGCACUGGCUAUAUUUGUGCUUUGUGAGGCUGGUAAUUUCUCCAUUCACGUGGCCCUCAAUAACCUCAAGGCAGAAGGUGGGCCCAAGUGCAGAAAGUUCCCUCGCCCGACGAAGAACCCAUUCACAUGGCUCUUCUUCCUCGUGUCUUGCCCCAAUUAUACCUACGAGGUAGGAGCCUGGGCAAGUUUCUCUGUCAUGACCCAGUGUCUUCCAGUGGCCUUGUUCACCUUCUUUGGUUUGAUCCAGAUGGCCAUCUGGGCCAAUGGGAAGCAUAAAGCCUACACCAGGGAGUUUAAGGACUACCCACACCUGCGCAUGCCAAUUAUCCCACUCCUCCUCUGACCACGCGAGAAAACGUUUACCAUUCUGCCUGGGGGGUAUUAGAGGCAUCAACCUGUCAGAGACGCUGUUGGAGAUUGGUGGGUUAAUGUAUUUCUCACAAAGCACGAAGACCCCAUUGGCUGUUCCUUCAUCUAGCGUCAUGGCAAUGAUCUGUUAUCUUUUCAACAACUAUCAAGGACAGAAUUCACAGAAAGUAUUGUGUCAUCACUGUUGUGGAUUGUGUAUUGAUUAUGUUUAAUUCAAUCUUUGAGACGCAGCUAUAUUGAUAAGUUAUUUUGUUGAUUUAUUUAACCGAUCAGGAUGAUUGAUUGACUGUUACAAUGAAGCUACUGAAGGGUCAGCUGCUGUCGGUAUUCUUCGUCUUCAGACGGUGGAAAUCACCCGAAAUUAUUAAGUUAUGAAUAUACGAUUGGAGUUACAGUAUAUCUAAUCUACCAUAUUAUUUUGUAAUAAGUUAUUGUGCAUUUCCUAGAAGAAAAGAGUUUGUAACUUGCUACGAUAUACCCGUUUAGGAAGUCGUCUUGUAACAACAUUUGUUACGGCUGAAGUGUAUCAGGGCUAUUUUCAGUUUACAGAGUAAGUAGAGAAGGGGAAAUGGAAUCGGUUAACUAAGAAGUGAUCUAGAAGCAACGAAGAAAUGGAACUUCAGCAGAUGUUCUAAGUUCUAAAUUAGAUUCUUUUCCACCUCUACAUAUGUUUGAAAGUAACAAAACGACCUGAUGAUUUUAACUUUGGGAGAAAGUCGAGGCUAAUUUAGUUAUGCAUUACUUAUGUAUCGUUCAAACUAACUACAAUCCGUCCAGUUCUCAGGUGUUACUAGAUGUAAGGGGCACUGUUGCAUCCUGUACAAAUUCUAGACAAACUAAAUUAUAGACAAACUCAUUUUUUCGACAAACUUGUUUUGUAGACAAAGUGUACAUAUGGAAUAAAUCAUUGUGAUCAUUUAAAAAGACAAGUCUUUUUAACUUAAAGAAGAGUCGUGCAUAUUUCGCAAAAAAUCAAUCAUUGUUACAGAAAAUAUUUAUUUGAAAUGAUUAUCUCAGACAAUUCAAGAAUCUCUCAUUUGCAAACAAAUCAGUUAUCAGGCAUAUGCAUAAAACUGCAAAAUUGUAUGCAGAGAAGAAAGCUUCAUGUUUAAACAGUACAUAUAGGCUUACACAAUCGCAUCAUCAUUUAAAAAAUGAAUUCAAUAAGCAACAAAUGCUUUUAACAGUCAUUUCGGCCAGUGUAUUAUGUACACCGCCCAGUUCACACAAAUAUUUAGAUCAUACAGACAGUGAGUCACGUGGUUUGCUAUAUAAAUUCAGUUACUGUUUGAUUGGAAGUUAGAAUGGGCAAAACGAGUGACCUAAGCGACUUUGAGCGCGGUAUGAUCGUCGGUGCCGGUUCCAGGACCUCAGAAACGUCCGGCCUCCUUGGCUUCUGACACACGACAGUGUUUAGGGCAGGAGUACUCAACCCUACGAGAUCCGGAGCCUGCUGGUUUUCUGUUCUACCUGGUAAUGAAUUGUCCCCAGGUCUAAAUCAGUCCCCGAUUAGAGAGGGAAGAAUGAAACAAUGCAGUGGAACUGGUGUCCCAGGUCUAAAUCAGUCCCUGAUUAGAGAGGGAACAAUGAAACAAUGCAGUGGAACUGAUGUCCCAGGUCUAAAUCAGUCCCUGAUUAGAGAGGGAACAAUGAAACAAUGCAGUGGAACUGAUGUCCCAGGUCUAAAUCAGUCCCUGAUUAGAGAGGGAACAAUGAAACAAUGCAGUGGAACUGAUGUCCCAGGUCUAAAUCAGUCCCUGAUUAGAGAGGGAACAAUGAAACAAUGCAGUGGAACUGAUGUCCCAGGUCUAAAUCAGUCCCUGAUUAGAGAGGGAAGAAUGAAACAAUGCAGUGGAACUGGUGUCCCAGGUCUAAAUCAUUCCCUGAUUAGAGAGGGAACAAUGAAACAAUGCAGUGGAACUGAUGUCCCAGGUCUAAAUCAGUCCCCGAUUAGAGAGGGAACAAUGAAACAAUGCAGUGGAACUGAUGUCCCAGGUCUAAAUCAGUCCCUGAUUAGAGAGGGAACAAUGAAACAAUGCAGUGGAACUGAUGUCCCAGGUCUAAAUCAGUCCCUGAUUAGAGAGGGAACAAUGAAACAAUGCAGUGGACCUGAUGUCCCAGGUCCAGAGUUGAGUUUGAGGGGUGUAGAGUUUACUUGGAAAUGGUGUGCGACAAACAAAACACAUCCAGUCAGGGGUACUGCUCUGUUUCAGCUGUCAUGGACAG